UGGGGAGGGUGGGCGUAGACCCACUUAAACAGGUUUACAGCCUGCCGCUUAACUCGGCCACCUAACC
RNAcentral lists this transfer RNA (67 nucleotides) under Brookesia brygooi. RNAcentral describes it as "tRNA-Tyr". The record is from RNAcentral. Lineage: Eukaryota; Metazoa; Chordata; Lepidosauria; Squamata; Chamaeleonidae.